CCUACGGGUGGCUGCAGUGGGGAAUAUUGCACAAUGGGGGGAACCCUGAUGCAGCGACGCCGCGUGAGUGAAGAAGUAUUUCGGUAUGUAAAGCUCUAUCAGCAGGGAAGAAAAUGACGGUACCUGACUAAGAAGCCCCGGCUAACUACGUGCCAGCAGCCGCGGUAAUACGUAGGGGGCAAGCGUUAUCCGGAUUUACUGGGUGUAAAGGGAGCGUAGACGGCAGAGCAAGUCUGAAGUGAAAGCCCGCGGCCCAACUGCGGGACUGCUUUGGAAACUGCCCGGCUAGAGUGCUGGAGAGGUAAGCGGAAUUCCUAGUGUAGCGGUGAAAUGCGUAGAUAUCUGGAGGAACAUCAGUGGCGAAGGCGACUAUCUGGCACAUAACUGACGCUGAGGAGCGAAAGCGUGGGUAGCAAACAGGAUUAGAUACCCUUGUAGUC
This 440-nucleotide ribosomal RNA is filed under the name uncultured bacterium. RNAcentral's name for it is "partial 16S ribosomal RNA". It matches the Rfam family "Bacterial small subunit ribosomal RNA", at positions 338 to 795 of the family's 1533-position model. The record is from RNAcentral.